GAUGAACGCUGGCGGCGUGCCUAAUACAUGCAAGUCGAGCGAGCAGACGAGGAGCUUGCUCCUUUGACGUUAGCGGCGGACGGGUGAGUAACACGUGGGUAACCUACCUAUAAGACUGGGAUAACUUCGGGAAACCGGAGCUAAUACCGGAUAAUAUUUCGAACCGCAUGGUUCGAUAGUGAAAGAUGGCUUUGCUAUCACUUAUAGAUGGACCUGCGCCGUAUUAGCUAGUUGGUAAGGUAACGGCUUACCAAGGCAACGAUACGUAGCCGACCUGAGAGGGUGAUCGGCCACACUGGAACUGAGACACGGUCCAGACUCCUACGGGAGGCAGCAGUAGGGAAUCUUCCGCAAUGGGCGAAAGCCUGACGGAGCAACGCCGCGUGAGUGAUGAAGGUCUUCGGAUCGUAAAACUCUGUUAUUAGGGAAGAACAAACGUGUAAGUAACUGUGCACGUCUUGACGGUACCUAAUCAGAAAGCCACGGCUAACUACGUG
This 497-nucleotide ribosomal RNA is filed under the name uncultured bacterium. Its description in RNAcentral is "partial 16S ribosomal RNA". It matches the Rfam family "Bacterial small subunit ribosomal RNA", at positions 28 to 507 of the family's 1533-position model. The record is from RNAcentral.